Molecule: long non-coding RNA, 540 nt
Organism: Erpetoichthys calabaricus (reedfish)
Lineage: Eukaryota; Metazoa; Chordata; Cladistia; Polypteriformes; Polypteridae
Exons: 3
Source: RefSeq, a predicted model, not a curated record
GACAAAGGAAGGAAGGUGGUCUUAGUGUGAAGAGCCGGGGUGCCUUCUCAGGUGAUGUUGUUUGGUACGACUGGGGAGAGAGAGAUUCCAGUUGUAGUAAUAAUGAAGCACACGAAGGCGAUGAUGUGCUCAAACGGUAUACUCUGACGCAUCACACGUGCAAUGCCCGGUUCGUAGGUAUUCGCUGCUUGGGAACCGCAGGACUUGACCAUAUCCAUUCCUGGUCUAACACGCCAUUUUUGGAAGAUUCGACUUGGAAGGGCUAUGCUACUCCGUGAGUAAAUCUGAUAUGGCAGCUGUCAAUAAUAAAAUGGCACUUCUCUGCAAUGAAGACCUGUAAGAAAAUUGAGUUAUUGCUGAUCAGAUGUCAGCAUUGCAUGUGUGCAGGUGGGAGACCAUUUUUGAAAAUAAUAUUCAAGCCUUUUACUUCUUGUCACUAAAGGCCUUCAUUGAAAUCUUUUUUUUGAGUAUUCCAUCUUUGUCCUGUGCAUUCAGCAACAGACAUUCACCUUUUCCACUGAAGCUAUCUGAUGGUCAUGU